Non-coding RNA from Triticum aestivum (bread wheat), 124 nucleotides. The record is from Rfam. Lineage: Eukaryota; Viridiplantae; Streptophyta; Magnoliopsida; Poales; Poaceae.
CAAGUACUCCCUCCGUCCGAAAAUAUUUGUCAUUGAAAUAGAUGUAUCUAGAUAUAUUUUAGUUCUAGAUACAUCCAUUUUCAUCCAUUUUGAUGACAAGUAUUUCCGGACGGAGUAGCAUGUU